GGGGAAUCUUCCGCAAUGGGCGAAAGCCUGACGGAGCAACGCCGCGUGAGUGAAGAAGGUCUUCGGAUCGUAAAGCUCUGUUGUCGGGGACGAAUGUUGAGAUCUAGAAUAUAGAUUUCAAAUGACGGUACCUGACGAGGAAGCCACGGCUAACUACGUGCCAGCAGCCGCGGUAAUACGUAGGUGGCGAGCGUUGUCCGGAAUUAUUGGGCGUAAAGGGAGCGCAGGCGGGAAGGUAAGUCUAUCUUAAAAGUGCGGGGCUCAACCCCGUGAGGGGAUAGAAACUAUCAUUCUUGAGUGCAGGAGAGGAAAGCGGAAUUCCUAGUGUAGCGGUGAAAUGCGUAGAUAUUAGGAGGAACACCAGUGGCGAAGGCGGCUUUCUGGACUGUAACUGACGCUGAGGCUCGAAAGCCAGGGGAGCGAAC
Molecule: ribosomal RNA, 425 nt
Filed under: uncultured bacterium
Lineage: Bacteria
Description: bacterial SSU rRNA
Rfam family: Bacterial small subunit ribosomal RNA
Source: RNAcentral